This is a long non-coding RNA of Camelus dromedarius (Arabian camel), 907 nucleotides long. RefSeq lists it as uncharacterized. The transcript is spliced from 4 exons. NCBI's taxonomy places the organism in Eukaryota, Metazoa, Chordata, Mammalia, Artiodactyla, Camelidae. The record is from RefSeq and is a predicted model, not a curated record.
ACAGAUUCCUGGCACAAUCAUCCCUGUUCUCAAACAUCUUUUAAACUUGGAUGAAGUGAUAAGUAGGGGAAGAAGAUGAUUUGCUGAAAGCAAUGCAGAGUCUCCCGAGAAGAGAUUCAGUCUGAACAGCUUUGUGUCAGACUUUGGAAGACCGCUGGUGCCCAAGGUGUUCUCUGGCAGGGCAAUGACGAAUCUAGGUCCCUCUUUCACUGCUACAUCAAUCAUGUGGGCCACUUGGAUAAGGCCAAAUUUGCUAUCCCAACCAUAGCCCUUGACAGAGAUAUUCAGCUCCAGGAAGCCAUCAGAUGCAGCAGGUGGCCAGAGGAGGAGGCGAACGGGCUCAUAAAAUGUGACAUCCCCAACUUCAUCAAUACGGACCAGAACUCUUCCUUUGGGGAAGAUGAUCUCCUGAUUUUGGAACCACCAAUUGUUCUAGAAGAUAAGCCAGUUGCUCAGACCUCACACAUAGACUUGAAUUGAGAAACGUGCUUUGUCAAGUGUCUUUCUGAAGAUGUGAAGUUUGUCUUUGUAUGGCAGGAAUUCCCCUUUCACAAAAUUGUAUAUGUUUGUGUCUGAGAGAGAGAAAUGGAGACAGACAGAAAGACGGAGACAGAAGAGCACCCCCUCAGAAGAGAGCUAGUUAAGUCCUACAGGGACAAGGAUCCUUAUUUGUUCACUGACGGACCUCAGGUGGCUUGACCUGUACCCGUGGCACAGCAGUCAAUACAAAUUGGCCGGAUGGAAGGAGGGAUCGUUCCUUACAUUCACAGAUCCCUCCCUUCUCUCUGCACUUCCUGUCCAUCUGUCUCCCUCCACUUUUCUCCUCCUCCCCUCCUCCUCCCAUCUUCUCCCUCCCUCACUUCCGCAGCUUCUCUCACAGAAACCUGAGGAUCGCUGGCCCUCCUGC